UUUUUCCCCCAAAAAACUGUCUCCCCACUAUUCGCAGCAGGAGUUAUAUACGUUUUAAGUCUUUCAGUUUUCCCACAACUCUUUUCGUGAAAGAGUUGUGUUCAUAACUAACUAUCACAAUCUCGCAGAUACUCAAAUAUCUUAUGUGAUAGAGUUGUGUUCAUAACCAACUAUCACAAUCUCACAGAUACUCAAAUAUAUUAUGUGAUAGAGUCCUUUAUCUGUAACAGUUACAGAUAGACUGCAGAU
RNAcentral lists this long non-coding RNA (249 nucleotides) under Manihot esculenta (cassava). RNAcentral's name for it is "long non-coding RNA (MESC_LNC011234)". Lineage: Eukaryota; Viridiplantae; Streptophyta; Magnoliopsida; Malpighiales; Euphorbiaceae. The record is from RNAcentral.